This 528-nucleotide ribosomal RNA is filed under the name uncultured bacterium. RNAcentral describes it as "bacterial SSU rRNA". It matches the Rfam family "Bacterial small subunit ribosomal RNA", at positions 777 to 1304 of the family's 1533-position model. The record is from RNAcentral.
AAUAGAUACCCCGGUAGUCCACGCCGUAAACGAUGAGUGCUAAGUGUUAGGGGGUUUCCGCCCCUCAGUGCUGCAGCUAACGCAUUAAGCACUCCGCCUGGGGAGUACGGUCGCAAGACUGAAACUCAAAGGAAUUGACGGGGGCCCGCACAAGCGGUGGAGCAUGUGGUUUAAUUCGAAGCAACGCGAAGAACCUUACCAGGUCUUGACAUCCCGCUGACCGCUAUGGAGACAUAGCUUUCCCUUCGGGGACAGCGGUGACAGGUGGUGCAUGGUUGUCGUCAGCUCGUGUCGUGAGAUGUUGGGUUAAGUCCCGCAACGAGCGCAACCCUUGUCCUUAGUUGCCAUCAUUCAGUUGGGCACUCUAAGGAGACUGCCGUACAAAUACGGAGGAAGGUGGGGAUGACGUCAAAUCAUCAUGCCCCUUAUGACCUGGGCUACACACGUGCUACGAUGGACGGUACAAACGGUUGCGAAGUCGCGAGACGGAGCCAAUCCGAGAAAGCCGUUCUCAGUUCGGAUUGCAGG